RNAcentral lists this ribosomal RNA (496 nucleotides) under uncultured bacterium. RNAcentral describes it as "partial 16S ribosomal RNA". It matches the Rfam family "Bacterial small subunit ribosomal RNA", at positions 29 to 507 of the family's 1533-position model. The record is from RNAcentral.
AUGAACGCUGGCGGCGUGCCUAAUACAUGCAAGUCGAGCGCACGGACGAGAAGCUUGCUUCUCUGAUGUUAGCGGCGGACGGGUGAGUAACACGUGGAUAACCUACCUAUAAGACUGGGAUAACUUCGGGAAACCGGAGCUAGUACCGGAUAAUAUUUUGAACCGCAUGGUUCAAAAGUGAAAGACGGUCUUGCUGUCACUUAUAGAUGGAUCCGCGCUGCAUUAGCUAGUUGGUAAGGUAACGGCUUACCAAGGCAACGAUGCAUAGCCGACCUGAGAGGGUGAUCGGCCACACUGGAACUGAGACACGGUCCAGACUCCUACGGGAGGCAGCAGUAGGGAAUCUUCCGCAAUGGGCGAAAGCCUGACGGAGCAACGCCGCGUGAGUGAUGAAGGUCUUCGGAUCGUAAAACUCUGUUAUUAGGGAAGAACAUAUGUGUAAGUAACUGUGCACAUCUUGACGGUACCUAAUCAGAAAGCCACGGCUAACUACGUG